CAGCUCCUUCCUGAGCAGAACCGUGCCAAGCGCUGGGUGCAGACACACCCAGGCCCUGAGCAGCGGGGAGGUCCCCGCAGUAAAGAAGGAUGGUUGCAUCUAGAAGACGGCUAAAUGCACUUGAAUGAUUCAAGUUCGGCUUUGAUGCCAAAAUGUACACAGGAAGAGAAGAGAUGCCCCGAGCAGGAAACGAAGACCGGAGUUUUCUACACGAUGGGAGGGACCCUAGUGAUGACGACAAGAUGGCUUAAAAAGCUAAACGUAAAAAAAAAAAAAAAAAAAAAUGCAACCGCGUGAAUACUAGAAUAGAAAUGGAAUCACUGCUCUCUGGAUUUGCAAAACGACUUUGCAAAUAUGUAACUUCUUAAAGAAAGCCACAAAUGCUCAUUGAUACUCUGACCGUAUCAGCAAGGAACACAUUUGCUGUUGAAAUAUAAACUCAGUGCCAGCGAACCAAGGGAAGCGUGCCACGGGUAUUCUUUUUUAAAUCUCAUUAAAAAAAGAAUCAGUGAGAAAAAACUCUAAGAUGUGAGCAGAAGUGUACAAAUGACGGACAGAGAGUUCGGACAUGGGCAGCCGUCACCAAUUCAUAAGCAACUCCGCUCCAAAAUAGCCAGGAGCCGUCGGGGUCUGAUUGAAACUGCCUCAGGCUGGAAAGGACUCCUGUCUCCUGGUGGGGGGUGUGGUCCCCUAGACCCACCUCCUGCUCCGCCCCGGACCCCGUGGACGGCUCGCUGCCUCUGACCUGGGCAGGGGAUGCUUCUCGGCCUCACUGGCCCCCGCUGCACCUGCAGUGCCCCCCACCCCCAGCUCUCCAGGGACUGACAUUUCCUUGCAGCCUGCCAGCUUCCCUGGGCACAUCACGGAGGCAGGAUGACGGGGAAGCUUUCCCUGUGCACCUGCCUCGCCAGGCAAUGCCCCAGGUGACCUGGUCUCCGCUUGCGAUGUUUUGUUUGUUGGUUUGCCAUUUCUGCCACUGAGCCCUCCUGAGCAGCGGGCAGUCCAGGCUCCACCUGAGGCUGCCCCAGGCUGGGGCCACGAGCAGGAAGGGGGAGCAUACCGAGCACACCAGGAGGACCCGCGCCCAACCUUGGGGGCCUUGGUGAGCGGGUGACAGGGCUCCUUUCCUGCCCUCCGAGUCCCCGUCUCAAAUGUCCUUUCAGCUAGAGAAGAACUGCCGGGAUCUGACUAUAACAACCACGGACGAAUGCCCACUUCUGCCCACGGCCC
This 1230-nucleotide long non-coding RNA is filed under the name Sus scrofa (pig). RNAcentral describes it as "lncRNA (ENSSSCG00025011551.1)". The record is from RNAcentral. Lineage: Eukaryota; Metazoa; Chordata; Mammalia; Artiodactyla; Suidae.